GAUGAACGCUGGCGGCGUGCCUAAUACAUGCAAGUCGAGCGAACAGACGAGGAGCUUGCUCCUCUGACGUUAGCGGCGGACGGGUGAGUAACACGUGGAUAACCUACCUAUAAGACUGGGAUAACUUCGGGAAACCGGAGCUAAUACCGGAUAAUAUAUUGAACCGCAUGGUUCAAUAGUGAAAGACGGUUUUGCUGUCACUUAUAGAUGGAUCCGCGCUGCAUUAGCUAGUUGGUAAGGUAACGGCUUACCAAGGCAACGAUGCGUAGCCGACCUGUGAGGGUGAUCGGCCACACUGGAACUGAGACACGGUCCAGACUCCUACGGGAGGCAGCAGUAGGGAAUCUUCCGCAAUGGGCGAAAGCCUGACGGAGCAACGCCGCGUGAGUGAUGAAGGUCUUCGGAUCGUAAAACUCUGUUAUUAGGGAAGAACAAAUGUGUAAGUAACUAUGCACGUCUUGACGGUACCUAAUCAGAAAGCAACGGCUAACUACGUG
RNAcentral lists this ribosomal RNA (497 nucleotides) under uncultured bacterium. RNAcentral describes it as "partial 16S ribosomal RNA". It matches the Rfam family "Bacterial small subunit ribosomal RNA", at positions 28 to 507 of the family's 1533-position model. The record is from RNAcentral.